Molecule: ribosomal RNA, 505 nt
Filed under: uncultured bacterium
Lineage: Bacteria
Description: partial 16S ribosomal RNA
Rfam family: Bacterial small subunit ribosomal RNA
Source: RNAcentral
AGUGAACGCUGGCGGUAGGCCUAACACAUGCAAGUCGAACGGCAGCACAGAGGAGCUUGCUCCUUGGGUGGCGAGUGGCGGACGGGUGAGGAAUACAUCGGAAUCUACUCUGUCGUGGGGGAUAACGUAGGGAAACUUACGCUAAUACCGCAUAUGACCUACGGGUGAAAGCAGGGGAUCUUCGGAACUUGCGCGAUUGAAUGAGCCGAUGUCGGAUUAGCUAGUUGGCGGGGUAAAGGCCCACCAGGGCGACGAUCCGUAGCUGGUCUGAGAGGAUGAUCAGCCACACUGGAACUGAGACACGGUCCAGCCCCCUACGGGAGGCAGCAGUGGGGAAUAUUGGACAAUGGGCGCAAGCCUGAUCCAGCCAUACCGCGUGGGUGAAGAAGGCCUUCGGGUUGUAAAGCCCUUUGUUGGGAAAGAAAUCCAUCUGGUUAAUACCCGGGUGGGAUGACGGUACCCAAAGAAUAAGCACCGGCUAACUUCGUGCCAGCCGCCGCCGUAA